UACGAAGGGGGCUAGCGUUGUUCGGAUUUACUGGGCGUAAAGCGCACGUAGGCGGAUUUCUAAGUCAGGGGUGAAAGCCUGAGGCUCAACCUCAGAACUGCCUUUGAUACUGGAAGUCUUGAGACCGGAAGAGGUAAGUGGAACUGCGAGUGUAGAGGUGAAAUUCGUAGAUAUUCGCAAGAACACCAGUGGCGAAGGCGGCUUACUGGUCCGGUUCUGACACUGAGGCACGAAAGCGUGGGGAGCAAACAGG
RNAcentral lists this ribosomal RNA (253 nucleotides) under uncultured bacterium. RNAcentral's name for it is "partial 16S ribosomal RNA". It matches the Rfam family "Bacterial small subunit ribosomal RNA", at positions 524 to 776 of the family's 1533-position model. The record is from RNAcentral.